UCUCGGGUAGUAUAGUGGUGAGUAUCCCCGCCUGUCACGCGGGAGACCGGGGUUCAAUUCCCCGCUCGAGAG
This is a non-coding RNA of Neoconidiobolus thromboides FSU 785, 72 nucleotides long. NCBI's taxonomy places the organism in Eukaryota, Fungi, Entomophthoromycota, Entomophthoromycetes, Entomophthorales, Neoconidiobolaceae. The record is from the annotation of a GenBank genome assembly.